This 433-nucleotide ribosomal RNA is filed under the name uncultured bacterium. RNAcentral describes it as "partial 16S ribosomal RNA". It matches the Rfam family "Bacterial small subunit ribosomal RNA", at positions 29 to 507 of the family's 1533-position model. The record is from RNAcentral.
AACGAACGCUGGCGGCAUGCCUAACACAUGCAAGUCGAACGAGACCUUCGGGUCUAGUGGCGCACGGGUGCGUAACGCGUGGGAACCUGCCCUUAGGUUCGGAAUAACUCCCCGAAAGGGGUGCUAAUACCGGAUAAUGUCUUCGGACCAAAGAUUUAUCGCCUUUGGAUGGGCCCGCGUUGGAUUAGCUAGUUGGUAGGGUGAAAGCCUACCAAGGCGACGAUCCAUAGCUGGUUUGAGAGGAUGAUCAGCCACACUGGGACUGAGACACGGCCCAGACUCCUACGGGAGGGAGCAGUGGGUAAUAUUGGACAAUGGGCGAAAGCCUGAUCCAGCAAUGCCGCGUGAGUGAUGAAGGCCUUAGGGUUGUAAAGCUCUUUUACCCGGGAUGAUAAUGACAGUACCGGGAGAAUAAGCUCCGGCUAACUCCGUG